RNAcentral lists this small RNA (333 nucleotides) under Histoplasma capsulatum var. duboisii H88. RNAcentral describes it as "Histoplasma capsulatum H88 hypothetical RNA". Lineage: Eukaryota; Fungi; Ascomycota; Eurotiomycetes; Onygenales; Ajellomycetaceae. The record is from RNAcentral.
AUGGGAUUUCAGUUCAAAUGAGGGGUGUGAGAUAUUACUUUUGAGAGCGUCCUCUGUAGAUCCCAGGCUCGACGUAUUUAGUGAUCGAUCUUGUGAGAAGUGACCAAUCUUCCACUUUGCAGAAGCUAUUGGGCGCUGAGAAAGUCGUAGGAGGAAUGGUCCUGACCCCUCGCGUGGCAAUUAAAAAGGAUUUAACUACCCAACCAUGUUAAUGCGAGUAAUAUAUCCAUGAAAGUAUUACUGUUAACUAGUUCUUAGCUACUCAGUGUUUAGGAUAUACAGUGAGCAAAUCUAAAUGGAUGUAAUGGCAUGUAAAGUAUAGACUAGCCUCGA